ACCUGCGGAGGGAUCAUUACCGAGUUUACAACUCCCAAACCCAAUGUGAACCAUACCAAACUGUUGCCUCGGCGGGGUCACGCCCCGGGUGCGUCGCAGCCCCGGAACCAGGCGCCCGCCGGAGGGACCAACCAAACUCUUUUCUGUAGUCCCCUCGCGGACGUUAUUUCUUACAGCUCUGAGCAAAAAUUCAAAAUGAAUCAAAACUUUCAACAACGGAUCUCUUGGUUCUGGCAUCGAUGAAGAACGCAGCGAAAUGCGAUAAGUAAUGUGAAUUGCAGAAUUCAGUGAAUCAUCGAAUCUUUGAACGCACAUUGCGCCCGCCAGUAUUCUGGCGGGCAUGCCUGUCCGAGCGUCAUUUCAACCCUCGAACCCCUCCGGGGGGUCGGCGUUGGGGACCUCGGGAGCCCCUAAGACGGGAUCCCGGCCCCGAAAUACAGUGGCGGUCUCGCCGCAGCCUCUCCUGCGCAGUAGUUUGCACAACUCGCACCGGGAGCGCGGCGCGUCCACGUCCGUAAAACACCCAACUUCUGAAAUGUUGACCUCGGAUCAGGUAGGAAUACCCGCUGAACUUAAGCAUAUCAAUA
RNAcentral lists this ribosomal RNA (587 nucleotides) under Trichoderma atroviride. RNAcentral describes it as "eukaryotic LSU rRNA". The stretch from base 205 to 358 matches the Rfam family "5.8S ribosomal RNA". Lineage: Eukaryota; Fungi; Ascomycota; Sordariomycetes; Hypocreales; Hypocreaceae. The record is from RNAcentral.